RNAcentral lists this non-coding RNA (152 nucleotides) under Lepisosteus oculatus (spotted gar). RNAcentral's name for it is "Eukaryotic large subunit ribosomal RNA". It matches the Rfam family "Eukaryotic large subunit ribosomal RNA", at positions 3009 to 3159 of the family's 3401-position model. Lineage: Eukaryota; Metazoa; Chordata; Actinopteri; Semionotiformes; Lepisosteidae. The record is from Rfam by way of RNAcentral.
UGUUGCAACAGUAAUCCUGAUCAGUACGAGAGGAACCGCAGGUCCAGACUCUGGGUGUCUGUUCUUGGCUGAGGAGCCAGUGAAGGGAAGCUGGCAUCCGUAGGAUCAUGACUGAAUGUCUCCAAGUCGGAAUCCCCCCUAAAAAGGUGGCA